UAACACGUAAGCAACCUGCCUAUCAGAGGGGAACAACAGUUAGAAAUGACUGCUAAUACCGCAUAUACCUAAGCAUCGCAUGGUGCAAUAGGGAAAGGAGAAAUCCGCUGAUAGAUGGGCUUGCGUCUGAUUAGAUAGUUGGUGGGGUAACGGCCUACCAAGUCAACGAUCAGUAGCCGGACUGAGAGGUUGAACGGCCACAUUGGGACUGAGAUACGGCCCAGACUCCUACGGAAGGCAGCAG
This 244-nucleotide ribosomal RNA is filed under the name uncultured bacterium. Its description in RNAcentral is "partial 16S ribosomal RNA". It matches the Rfam family "Bacterial small subunit ribosomal RNA", at positions 111 to 354 of the family's 1533-position model. The record is from RNAcentral.